Molecule: ribosomal RNA, 376 nt
Filed under: uncultured bacterium
Lineage: Bacteria
Description: bacterial SSU rRNA
Rfam family: Bacterial small subunit ribosomal RNA
Source: RNAcentral
UACGUAGGUGGCGAGCGUUGUUCGGAUUUAUUGGGCGUAAAGGGUCUGUAGGAGGUUUCUUAAAUUCGAGGUGAAAUCCCGGAGCUCAACUUCGGAACUGCCUUGGAGACUGGGAGACUAGAGUACUGGAGAGGUAAGCGGAAUACCAAGUGUAGCGGUGGAAUGCGUAGAUAUUUGGUAGAACACCAAGAGCGAAGGCAGCUUGCUGGACAGAAACUGACUCUGAGAGACGAAAGCGUGGGGAGCAAACAGGAUUAGAUACCCUGGUAGUCCACGCCGUAAACGGUGUCAACUUGAUGUGGGAGGAUUUAACCCCUUCCGUAUCGUAGCUAACGCGAUAAGUUGACCGCCUGGGGACUACGGCCGCAAGGCUAAA